AGUGAGGAAUAUUGCACAAUGGGGGAAACCCUGAUGCAGCAACGCCGCGUGGAGGAUGACGCAUUUCGGUGUGUAAACUCCUUUUAUAUGUCAAGAAAAUGACGGUAGCAUAUGAAUAAGCACCGGCUAACUCCGUGCCAGCAGCCGCGGUAAUACGGAGGGUGCAAGCGUUACUCGGAAUCACUGGGCGUAAAGGACGCGUAGGCGGGAUGCCAAGUCUGAUGUGAAAUCCUAUGGCUUAACCAUAGAACUGCAUUGGAAACUGGUAACCUAGAGUAUGGGAGGGGGAGAUGGAAUUUAGUGGUGUAGGGGUAAAAUCCGUAGAUAUCACUAGGAAUACCUAAAGCGAAGGCGAUCUCCUGGAACAAUACUGACGCUAAGGCGUGAAAGCGUGGGGAGCAAACGGGAUUAGAUACCCCGGUAGUCCACGCCCUAAACGAUGAACACUAGUCGUCGGGAUGCUUGUCAUCUCGGUGAUGCACUUAACAGAUUAAGUGUUCCGCCUGGGGAGUACGGUCGCAAGAUUAAAACUCAAAGGAAUAGACGGGGACCCGCACAAGUGGUGGAGCAUGUGGUUUAAUUCGAAGAUACGCGAAGAACCUUACCUAGCCUUGACAUUGAUUGAAUUCUGUAGAGAUACGGAAGUGCCUUUUGGGGAACAUGAAAACAGGUGCUGCACGGCUGUCGUCAGCUCGUGUCGUGAGAUGUUGGGUUAAGUCCCGCAACGAGCGCAACCCUCGUCCUUAGUUGCCAGCAGGUUAAGCUGGGCACUCUAAGGAGACUGCCUUCGCAAGGAGGAGGAAGGUGAGGACGACGUCAAGUCAUCAUGGCCCUUACGGCUAGGGCUACACACGUGCUACAAUGGGGCGUACAGAGUGUUGCGAUACCGCGAGGUGGAGCCAAUCACUUAAAGCGUCUCUCAGUUCGGAUUGGAGUCUGCAACUCGACUCCAUGAAGCUGGAAUCACUAGUAAUCGUAGAUCAGCAAUGCUACGGUGAAUACGU
This 1004-nucleotide ribosomal RNA is filed under the name uncultured bacterium. RNAcentral's name for it is "bacterial SSU rRNA". It matches the Rfam family "Bacterial small subunit ribosomal RNA", at positions 353 to 1371 of the family's 1533-position model. The record is from RNAcentral.